This 2935-nucleotide long non-coding RNA is filed under the name Sus scrofa (pig). RNAcentral's name for it is "lncRNA (ENSSSCG00015075903.1)". Lineage: Eukaryota; Metazoa; Chordata; Mammalia; Artiodactyla; Suidae. The record is from RNAcentral.
AGGACCAUGACGUAUUUAUGAGCUGUUAAUGGACACACCUGAAAAAUGGAAUUAGCAUCAGUCUUCUAUUUCAGAGACUGAUGUGUGUUCUGAGCUGUGGCCACAGGCUGCAAGCAGAGAUGACUUGGAAAACCCUCGGAGUUAUGGGAAGAUGUCCAUCUGUUGAUAAUAUAAAUGUCAAAUUGUUGGCCGCUGUCACUGGAAGGCCCAUAUGCCCCAGAGAGGACAAGCAGCUCCUUAGGUUCCCUCUUUCAGAAGAUACAUAGUUUCCUCUAUGAUAAAGACACCUGGACUACAAGUGACAAAAGAAAAUGCAAUAGAACUUUAUCAAAAUUAAACACGUUUGCGUUUCAAAGGCCAUCUUCGAUAAAGAGAAGCAAUGAUCCACAGAAGAGAGGAAAACAUUUGCCAAUUAUGUACCUGAUAUUUUAGAUAUUUGUCAGCUGCAAUAUGUGCAUGAGUUUUACAACUCAGUUGUCCAAGGAGAAAUAAUCCAGUUUUUUACAAAGGGGCAAAAGACCUGAAUAGACAUUUCUGCAAAGAAUAUGUACAAACGGCCGAGAAGCAGCAGAAAAGAGGUUAAGCGCCAAUAGCCAUCAGGGCCAGGCAAGGCUUAACUACAGUGAGAACCUGCUUUGCAAUGACCAAGAUGGUUAUGAUGUAAAAAGACACAGUAGCAACUGAUGGUGGGGAUGUGGAGAAGUCAGCACACUCAUAUGUUGCUGGUGGAGAUGUCACAUGGUGCCUCUGCUUUGGAAGCCAGUCUGGCAAUUUCUGAAAAGGUUAAACAUAGAUUUACCCUAAGACCCAGCAGUUCCACUCCUAAGUGUAUACUUAAGUGGGAGCAGAUGCUUAUGCAAAACCUUGUGCAUGGGUGUUCACGGUAGCAUUAUUUGUUACACCUCCAAAUAGAAACAAACUGUAUGCCUGUCGGUAGAUGAAAGGAUAAAUGCAGCGUGACCUGUCCAUACAAAGUAAUAGCAUUCAGCUGCAAGAAAGCAUUCAGUACUGGUACAGGGUACUACAGGGAUGGGCCCUGAAAACAUUAAGCUCAGUGAAAGGAACUCGUCCAAAGGAUUGCACAUUGUGUGGUCCACUCACCUGCAAUAUUCAGCAUAGGCGAAUCCAUAGAGAUGCCAAGCAGAUUAGUGGUUGCCAGGGCUUGGGGUGGGGAGGGAGUGAGACAUAGCACGUAACUGAUGAGUGGAUGGGAACUAGGGUUUCCUUAGGGGGCUGAAAAUGUUCUAAGAUUAAGUUUGGUCAUGGUUGCACAACUUCUACUAAAGUACUGGAAACGGUUGAACUGGAUGCUUUAAAUAGGUACAUUUCCCAUUAUGUGAAUGCUGGCACAAUUAAGUCACUCAAACAAAAAAAGGCAAAUGGCGUGCAGUCUUGCUUCCUUGUUUCUCUUUGGUCCCUCAUCACAUUAGCAGUGUCCCCAACCAGACUCUUUCCCCAAGGUCAUGCUCUGCUCACUCUUGGACCAUUUCUCUGUCCCUGUUGAUGCUCCUCCCUCCUGCCUUCAAGCCGGGGAUUCCUUUGAUGGUCCUGGUGAAUAUCAGAGCUAAGAAGCAUAUGGAGGUGGCUUUAUUCUUUCCUUGUUUUCUUUUAAAGGAACCGCGUAAUUAUACCCUGCUUGCCUCCCUGGUGACCUCCUCUUUCGAUUUCCAAAAACCUCUGGUGAAAGUAAAACUCUAAAUCUGGACAGUUUCUUUUUAAUGGUUGUUUUGGGGAUUAGGGAUGCAGAAAACCUCUCAGAAUUCACAGGAAUUGUAACUUCUGCUAGCAAGUAGCUUUUGGCAUGUGUGAAGAAAAUGCAAAUAACCUUGAACCCGAUUAUGUUUCCAAGCCUGUGAGGCUUUUGAGAAGUCCACUGGGUUUAUUUAUUGUUUUUAGUCUUUUGCUAAGAAUGAGGAUUACUUUUGUCUCUUCUCUUGCCCAGGAAAACAUUUCAUAAACUUUAGAUUUAAACCCAAUCUUCUUAUUUUUGUGAAGUCAGUUGUUAUUCCAAAGUUUUGUUCCCAACUGCUCACAUCCUGAGAGAAAUCACUCUGCUUAGUCCCACAGGAGACAUUAUUUGUAUUACAAAACAAAUGUGGUCAUGUAUAAUGAGACGUGAAAGUGCCAGGCCUGCUGCUGUGCCUCAGUACUGCUCAGGGCAUUCUUUUCCCAAAGAAUUUUCCGUCUGGAAACAAAUUAGGAUGAAAAGCCUACUCAGUGAGAGUAUGGAAUCAUAUCAAAGAAAGGACUCAGACUGUCGGAGAGUUGAUGACACACAGCAAUUCACUUCCAGACUAGAGACAUAUUAGGCCAAUCUCUUUCCAACUUCUCAAUCCCGUAACUUUUAUAAUUGCAACCACAUUUGCAGUUAAAACACUUUUGCCUAAUUUACGAAGAGGGUUAUUAGAGCGGGAUAAAAAAAGAAAAAUAUAUACAUAAUUAUACGUGUAUAAUUUUUUUAAAAAGAAUUUUUAACAGCUAAUAUAUUUACAUGGUUGAAAAACUUAAAACUGUGCAAAUAGGAAUAGAAGAAAUAGAGUGAAAAUUCUCUUCCUGCCUCUGUUUCCCCCCAGUUUGCAUUUUCGAAGACAAGCAGUUUAGCUGGUCUUCUGUUUCUGGUAUAUGCUUCAAGAAAUAUUCUGUAAAUUUGGAAGCAAAUAUGUAUAUUUGGAAUAAAAAAUAUGAAAUAAAUAUAUAUAUAUGAACUGUAUAUAUGAGAUAAGAACAAAUAUGUAUAUAUGAAAAACUAUGUUUAUAUAUCAUCUUUUUACAAAUGCUAAUGACUAUAUAGUCUACUUUGUACAAAAAAACAGUAUAUAUAUAUUUUUUUUCACCUACUCUUGGAGAUGUCUAUUUUUCCACCAUGGGAUAGUUCUUCAGAGAUCAAAGUAAGUUUAAUAUACUUUACAGUGUUUUUAUUAAAUUUGGUUUUUGU